Molecule: ribosomal RNA, 372 nt
Filed under: uncultured prokaryote
Description: bacterial SSU rRNA
Rfam family: Bacterial small subunit ribosomal RNA
Source: RNAcentral
UACGUAGGGUGCGAGCGUUAAUCGGAAUUACUGGGCGUAAAGCGUGCGCAGGCGGUUAUAUAAGACAGUUGUGAAAACCCCGGGCUCAACCUGGGACCUGCUUUUGUGACUGUAUAGCUAGAGGACGGUAGAGGGGGAUGGGAUUCCGCGUGUAGCAGUGAAAUGCGUAGAUAUGCGGAGGAACACCGAUGGCGAAGGCAAUCCCCUGGACCUGUACUGACGCUCAUGCACGAAAGCGUGGGGAGCAAACAGGAUUAGAUACCCUGGUAGUCCACGCCCUAAACGAUGUCAACUAGUUGUUGGGUCUUCACUGACUCAGUAACGAAGCUAACGCGUGAAGUUGACCGCCUGGGGAGUACGCCCGCAAGGUUG